AUUUUGAGCCGCAGGACAACACGAGGGUUAAUAGAACAGAACAAACCAACUGUCUAAAGUUUCUAAAACAUGAUUUUCUAUCCCUGCAGGGAUGGUCCUCCUCAAAAGAUCCCGAGAUCCAGUUUUCAAAGCAGAUCGGCCGUUCUUAUUUCUACUGCAACAGGUUCACACAGGUAUUUACUUCACAUCAUACAGAUGUUUUCAAUGUUUUAGUCUAGAAAAGCACCCUAGUCAGGGUAUGCUGUUUGACAUUUUAGUUUUAGUAUGAAAAUAAAUAGAUCUUUGAAUGAGUUGCACUGAUCAGACACUACAGAAAUACUCAGUGGAGCAGACAGGUUUGAGCUGAGCAUCAACAGGUGACCUAUCCUUGAGCUCCUGGAGGGUUUUUGUGAACAGAAGCUUUGGAACACGUGUGUGAAUUACUCCUGUUGGACCUUCUCUCUCAGAAGUUUAAAAAUGAAAUUAAUAAAUAAUCUGUUUCUGUUCUGUGAUUCAUGUUCAGUGGUGAAAUAAAAAAAACAUCCAGGAAACUUUUCUACAUUGAUGCAACGUUUCCCAGAGCUUCAUCUGAUGACCUGAAACAGAACUGACCUGCUGAUGGAGGACCUGUUGAAGAACCCUAACUCUGUAACUGAUGAAGAUAAAGAAGAAGGUUUUCCUGUCAGGUGUAACUGAUGAUGAUGAAGGUUUUCCUGUCAGGUGUUACUGAUGAAGGUGACGAUGGGGGACGACUGGGGGACCCUGACGGGGUGAGCUGGUGUCUUCAUUUGCACAACUGACUUCCCCUCUUGGACGUCCCUUAGUUCUGCCCCUAGUUCUGCUGCUACAGGCCUAGGCUGCUGGAGGACCUCUCUGGAUGCACUGAGCCCUUCUCUAUCUACCAUUAUAUUUAAUAUACAGUAUAUAUACCAUUAUUGCAUUACACUCACUCUGUUUCUCCCUGUGUCCUUUCUCCGAGUGUCCCUGAUCCCAGAGCUGGAUGCUUCAGAUCUGUGGUGGUUCUCCCACCAACUGGCCUAAUCUCCAUCUGUGGGAUGCUGCUGCUGCUGACCUUCCUCCAGCCCACUGCUUCCAGCUGCCCAUUUCCAUCAAUCUACUCUGCAUCACCCUCACUAUACUUGAUUUGCUCGUCUACAUAUUUUUGAAUUUACCACCAGCUAUAUAUGUAGUAUAUUUAAUGCCAGAGCCAUACACCGUAGCAGUAAACUAUAAUCAGUUUCCAGCCCAGAGGGAUAUAUGCGCAGAUUUUUUAAAAUACCAUGUAGAAGACUAUAUACAGGAAGAUGAGGUAUCAGUUCUUGCACAUAGAUAUACAACAGUCCUUUAUUACUCCCCAGGUUAGGGGAAAUUUCCAGUGUUAGAGCAGCAAAAAUCUUUCAGAGCAGCACUAACUACAGUUUGCUACAGUAAAGAUAAUAAUUAUAAUAACAAUAAUAUAUACAAGAAUGAAAAAUGAAUAAAUACAGUAUUACUACACUAUAAGUGACAUCAGCAUAAAGUGGCUUGUGGAAUACAUGUAAUUGUAAAAGUGCAGAAAAUGCCAGCCGUGCAAGGAGUUGUGGAGAUUUUCUCAAAACAGGUGAGUCCUGUGAAUAUGACCAAAAUAUGAGAUAAAACUACCAGAAACAUGUACAAAAUGGCCAAAAUAUGAUUGGUUGAUAAUGUAUCAGUGUUGUUAUUGAUUAUUGAUCGGUUGCAGGGACAGAGAUUUGUGUCUGAGUCUCUGCUGUCAUCUAAUCGCUCUCAUGUAAGAUCGUGUCACAGGAGGGGCCGCUACUGACCUCUUGUGGACACAGGCGGUAACGACACGACAUUAUUACUAACUGUAUAGCUGGCGACAUUACAGGCGAGCAGCACUUCCUGUUCAUCUUCAACGUAAAAGCAUCUUUCUUUAUUGUACAUUUUAUGUCAAACGAAUUAUUAAGCGAUUUAGGUCGAUUCAGAAGGCUCUCUGGUGUAAACCAAGUCGUGUUUGACGACAGCUAGCCUCUCCACUUGCUCCGAUUACUUUUGUUGUAGUCUGAGUCACGUCCAAACAGGAAAUGAAUCCACAAUGUAGCUAAUGACAAUCUAUAGCUGCAUCUCCGUGAUGGCAGCGUUAGCGAGCUAGCAGCUAAUCAGAAGCUAGUGACAAGCUAACUCCAGCGCUACCAGCAGCGUCUCUUUAAAAGGUGCUGAUCACGAUAUCAGGCUGAAACAUUAGACCUGGGACAGGAAACGGAGCUAGAGCUCUGUGUCUUGGAGAGAAUUGAUUUUAGAGCUACGUGUGUUAAGGUAUUAGUCCGUGUCAUAACAAACCCUCGUUAGCACUUUCGCUAGCUCGGCUAACACUUCCGGUCACGAAUGCAUUUGUACAUUACCUAUAACGUGUUCAUUUUUGAACGUAUAGUGACAACAAACACAAUUUGAGGGAGUCGACAAGCUAGUGGUCCUUAAAUACAUUUUGGUUCAUACUGCAGAUUCUUCUGAGUCUCACAAAACCACGUUUUAGCCUAAGAGCAUUACGAUAGUUUUACGUUGAAACAGGAAGUGCUGCUCAUCUGUACUGUCGCCAGCUUUGCCUCAAAUAAUAAUUAGUGUCGUUACCGCCUGUGUCCGCCAGAGGGGCAGUAGCGCCCCCUGCUCUGAUAAGGAUAAGGAUAAACUUUAUUGAUCCCACAGUGGGUAAAGUUCACCGAGCUGCUUCACUGAGGAGAGUCUUUUAGUUUUCAGAUAAUAUGAUGGCGAAGAAAAUGUGUUACUGCAGUAAAGAUUCCACUGAAUUAUUAUUUGAUCCAUGAUCGAGAGCACUCAGUUCUUCUCCAGUUUGUUGCUGCGGUCCGGUGAACAGGUUGAGAGGACUUUGGGUAUUGAGGCUGCAAGAUCCACCAUCAUCAGUGAGAUUCAGUACACCAUGGUCAACCACGGAAUGAGCAUCGACCGGCGUCACGUCAUGCUUCUUGCUGAUCUUAUGUCCUAUAAGGACCAGACCUGCUGGGAUCUGUACAGAUGUCUUGAUGAGGGUGGGAGUGGUUUCAGUAAAGGAGAGCUGGAUCAGUCUACAAACACAUUGUUGUAACCAGUGUGGGAAAUCUUUCAGGCAGUCAAGUUAUUUGAAACGUCAUAUGCUCAUCCACACGGAAGAAAUUAGUUUUUUACUGUGAUAUUUCCUCAUGUUUGACAAAGUGGUUAUUAUCUUAACUGUGAAAUAAAAGCCCUCCUUAAACGUUA
Amphiprion ocellaris (clown anemonefish) is the source of this 3210-nucleotide RNA transcript. It is a transcript of the gene named DNA-directed RNA polymerase III subunit RPC1-like, with no coding region annotated. The transcript is spliced from 4 exons. The record is from RefSeq and is a predicted model, not a curated record. Lineage: Eukaryota; Metazoa; Chordata; Actinopteri; Pomacentridae.